RNAcentral lists this ribosomal RNA (401 nucleotides) under uncultured bacterium. Its description in RNAcentral is "bacterial SSU rRNA". It matches the Rfam family "Bacterial small subunit ribosomal RNA", at positions 356 to 774 of the family's 1533-position model. The record is from RNAcentral.
GGGGAAUAUUGCACAAUGGGCGAAAGCCUGAUGCAGCAACGCCGCGUGAGUGAUGAAGGCCUUCGGGUUGUAAAGCUCUGUCUUCUGGGACGAUAAUGACGGUACCAGAGGAGGAAGCCACGGCUAACUACGUGCCAGCAGCCGCGGUAAUACGUAGGGGCCGAGCGUUGUCCGGAGUUACUGGGCGUAAAGCGCGCGCAGGCGGCUCGUCAAGCCUGACGUGAAAGCCCCCGGCUCAACCGGGGAGGGUCGUCGGGGACUGGCGGGCUUGAGGUCGGCAGGGGUUGGUGGAAUUCCCGGUGUAGUGGUGAAAUGCGUAGAGAUCGGGAGGAACACCCGUGGCGAAGGCGGCCAACUGGGCCGGACCUGACGCUGAGGCGCGAAGGCGUGGGGAGCGAACG